RNAcentral lists this ribosomal RNA (247 nucleotides) under uncultured Azospira sp. Its description in RNAcentral is "partial 16S ribosomal RNA". It matches the Rfam family "Bacterial small subunit ribosomal RNA", at positions 527 to 773 of the family's 1533-position model. Lineage: Bacteria; Pseudomonadati; Pseudomonadota; Betaproteobacteria; Rhodocyclales; Rhodocyclaceae. The record is from RNAcentral.
GUAGGGUGCGAGCGUUAAUCGGAAUUACUGGGCGUAAAGCGUGCGCAGGCGGUUUCGUAAGACAGACGUGAAAUCCCCGGGCUCAACCUGGGAACUGCGUUUGUGACUGCGAGGCUAGAGUAUGGCAGAGGGGGGUGGAAUUCCACGUGUAGCAGUGAAAUGCGUAGAGAUGUGGAGGAACACCGAUGGCGAAGGCAGCCCCCUGGGCCAAUACUGACGCUCAUGCACGAAAGCGUGGGGAGCAAAC